Molecule: long non-coding RNA, 835 nt
Filed under: Marmota monax (woodchuck)
Lineage: Eukaryota; Metazoa; Chordata; Mammalia; Rodentia; Sciuridae
Source: RNAcentral
GGUGGACAAAUUAUUUCUCUUUUAUUUCUCCAGUAACAGAGUUAAAAUGGCAGGAGGUUUUUCAGAGUUAAUAUCGUUGUAUUUACGCAGCUUCAUUCUUUUCCAUUUCUUAAGGAAACAAAAAACAACCACCUCAAACUCGAUUAAAAAAGAAAGAAAGAAAGAAAAAAAAAGACACAGCAUAACCAGGCCGUGACCCUGAACAACCCACCUACGCCUGCUCUCUGGAGUUUUGUUUUUCGUGGUCUGUGUCCUGACAGGGGCUGAAAGCUGGACUGUUAAUAUCACAGCCACGUGCCUCCCCUACCUUGGGACCCCCACACUGAGAGGGGGUGGGCAAUCUGGGGGAUGUAGAAGAAAAUCUUGGUGUAGUAAGAUCGAUAGCACAUGUUGGGGUUGAGCUCAGGGUCUGUCCGUGGUUGGUGUGGCCUCAGGAGAGUCACUUCCUUUUCGAAUCUCAGUUUCCCCACCUGAAAAGUGGGGGAUGGGCUCAACCCCUGUUUUUCUAAUUGUGCUUUUCGGAGCUCCAGGGUUUCUUGGGUGCAGCAGGGGCUGUUACCAAGUGCCUGGAGUUCCUAUGCCUGUGUCUCAGCAUGGAAGCUAUUCCUGUUCCCAUUCCAUAUGCUGGGCUUCUGUUACGAUGAUUUCAACAGUUCUACCAACACAUCCGACGACCACUGGCUACUCCAGUGCUAUCCAUCCUGGUGAGUCCACAUGUUGGUCCCCACCCAAACUCAUGUCUCAGUUUAUCACCCAGAAGGGCAAGACCAACAAAACGGAUGUGUACGGCUUGUUAGCUGGGAUGGAGCUGCCCACACAUCACUGUGCAGAUGGG